AUGAGUCUCGUCUAUUCUACCCACGACCAUCCUCCUCGGCCAUUUCAGAUGAGGAUCUCUUUUCUCACGUUUCCUGAUACACGUCCCUCUGUGCCUCGUAUUCCUACUCCUCCUCAUCCCACUACUGCAGAUCCACCGCCACCUCCUACACUUUCGUCUCCUCCCUUGCCGCAUGACUCUCCACCUUCAUCAGCGAUGUCUUCCCCAUCUCCAUCACCUCAUGUGGUUCCUUAUCGUCCCACCUUCCGUUUUCAUUAUACCCAUCGUCCACGUGUUGUGGAUGAUUCUACUGAUGUGCCAUCUACUUCGGGUGCGCCAUCUUCAUCUUCCCAGCCGACUUAUGGUCUUCGGGCUCGACGUUGCCCUCCUCCUGAUCGCUAUUCUCCUAGUCAAUAUGGUCUUUCGAUUGUACUUGAGCCUACCUCUUAUCGUGAUGUUGUUGUUCAUCCUGAAUGGCAGUUUGCGAUGGCAGAGGAGAUUGCCACACUUGAGCGCAACCGCACGUGGGAUCUGGUUUCUCUUCCUCCUCGCGUUCGUCCCAUCACUUGCAAGUGGGUCUAUAAGAUUAAGACCCGCUCUAAUGGUUCUCUUGAGCAUUAUAAAGCUCGUCUUGUGGCUCGUGGCUUUCAACAGGAGCAUGGUCGUGAUUACAACGAGACAUUUGCUCCUGUGGCCCAUAUGACCACUGUCUGCACGCUUCUCGCCGUGGCCUCUGUUCGCCACUGGUCUGCGUCUCAGCUUGAUGUUAAGAAUGCCUUUCUUAAUGGUGAGUUGCGUGAGGAGGUUUAUAUGCAGCCACCACCUGGGUAUUCAGUUCUUGAUGGAAUGGUGUGUCGUCUUCGUCACUCUCUCUAUAGCCUUAAGCAAGCCUCUCGUGCUUGGUUUGAGCAUUUUGCCUUUGUGAUCACCGCAGCUGGUUUUUCUCCCAGUAAUCAUGAUCCAACGUUAUUUGUCCACAUUUCUGCUCGUGGCCGCACUCUUCUUCUUCUAUAUGUUGAUGACAUGAUCAUCACUGGCGACGAUUCUGAGUACAUUGCCUUUGUCAAGGCCCGUCUUAAUGAGACGUUCCUUAUGUCUGAUCUUGGUCCUCUUCAUUACUUUCUUGAGAUUGAGGUUUCCUCCACCUUUGAUGGCUUUUUUAUUUCCCAGGAAAAGUAUAUCCAGGAUCUUCUUGCUCGUGCGGCUCUUAGUGAUGAGCGCACUAUUGAGACUCCUAUGGAGCUCAAUGUUCAUCUUCGCGCUUCUGAUGGUGAGCCCUUGUCUGAUCCGACGCGUUAUCUCAUCUUGUUGGGAGUCUUGUCUAUUUGUCCGUCACUCGUCCAGAUAUCUCUUAUCCUGUUCAUAUUCUAA
RNAcentral lists this ribosomal RNA (1350 nucleotides) under Triticum aestivum (bread wheat). RNAcentral's name for it is "partial small subunit ribosomal RNA". The record is from RNAcentral. Lineage: Eukaryota; Viridiplantae; Streptophyta; Magnoliopsida; Poales; Poaceae.